This 460-nucleotide ribosomal RNA is filed under the name uncultured bacterium. Its description in RNAcentral is "bacterial SSU rRNA". It matches the Rfam family "Bacterial small subunit ribosomal RNA", at positions 34 to 507 of the family's 1533-position model. The record is from RNAcentral.
CGCUGGCGGCGUGCCUAACACAUGCAAGUCGAACGAGGUCCAUGAGAGCUUGCUCUCAGAAGACCUAGUGGCGAACGGGUGAGUAACACGUGAGAAACCUGCCUCGGAGUGGGGAAUAACUCGGGGAAACUCGAGCUAAUACCGCAUAUCUUCACAUGAUCGCAUGGUCGAGUGAAGAAAGAAUUUCGCUCUGAGAGGGUCUCGCGGCCUAUCAGCUUGUUGGUGGGUAACGGCCCACCAAGGCAACGACGGGUAGCUGGUUUGAGAGAACGAUCAGCCACACUGGGACUGAGACACGGCCCAGACUCCUACGGGAGGCAGCAGUGGGGAAUCUUGCGCAAUGGGCGAAAGCCUGACGCAGCAACGCCGCGUGCGGGAUGACGGCCUUCGUGGUUGUAAACCGCUUUCAGCAGGGACGAAAAUGACGGUACCUGCAGAAGAAGCCCCGGCUAACUACGUG